Molecule: small nucleolar RNA, 128 nt
Organism: Ochotona princeps (American pika)
Lineage: Eukaryota; Metazoa; Chordata; Mammalia; Lagomorpha; Ochotonidae
Source: Ensembl
CUGCAUCCGCUGAUAGACCUUGAACAAUUGGCAGUUGUUCUCUUGGUUUGCACUAGGAUGCCAAAGAAAAAUCCCUGCGCUUUCUGCCUGUCUUUGUGGCAGUCCAGAUUGAAUUGGGGAAUACAUUU